AGUUUGGUAGUGGGGGGAGGGACGCAGAGAUGGCUUCUGUAGGAAGUUUCUGGAAACUUCCACCAUGUCCAGAAGAGCCAAUCCCCCAUGGCUCUGAAGAUGGACAUGCUGCUGGUCAAACCUGGGCUAAUGAGAGAGGUUGGUAACACCUCUGUGAUAACAUAUUUAAGAAGAAAAUCAACGUGUACAGAGUUUACUUCUAGAAGAGGAGAAGAUGAGGACAUGUGAGGGAAACAACAUGGUGACACCAAGGAAAUGCCACAGAUGUUACUGGAAAACAGUUUCUACCUGACUCAACAGCCCACAAGAUUCUCAAUAGCUCACAAGCCAGCUUACACAAUUGGAAUGUCAUUAUGGAAAGUAGAUUUCUGUCUCACAUUGCUUGUAUAAACAAAGAUGCAGUUCUGCAUGAGAUCCUGCAAAUCAUCUCCUGGGAUUCAUGGUCCUCAGUAGUGAGGGAGUGCAGUAGUUUGCUUCUGGCAUAUAUGAGACUCUAGCUUGGUGGUUCCCAGUUUCUGGUGGGCAAAAAAUCAAAACAGCAGCAGGAAAAAAUGCCUCUUCUUGGCCUGGAUUUUUAUUGCCCUCUCUGAGGAGUAGUGGUAUGUAACUUUAAGACACAGGGAGUAGUGUUGUUCUUUAGAAGACCUUUAGGAGCCCAUUAGUCACUUGCGUGACAGGAUAAAAAUUUUCUGUCGCUUGGGUGGGGAAGGGUCUCACUAGUUUCAGAAACAGAAAUUUUUCCAUUCACUGACAUGUUAUACUUCUGUUAUUGCUUGGGUUUUCUUCAUUUACUUCUUUUAGAACAUUUUUCACAUGGUACAGUUAAUUAAUAUGAAAGAGACUGUAUCUAUGUUGAUUCAACUGGUCUUUUAUAUAAAAUCCCCAAGUCAGCUUUAGUAGCUGGAAAUGCAGCAGUUUCUCUUCAAAUACAAAUUGUAUCAUAGCUGAUAAGUCAAAUUAAGCCUGAACAAGCAAUCCUAGACUACAUCUUAGCUAGUUUAAGAAUCAGUUUUAGAGAUUUAUCAUACCACAGAGUUCUGUUCUGUAUUAUCUCCAUGUGCCAUGAUUUAAACAUUUACCAACUACUUACUGGUAAUAACAUAGACACAGAAUAUCUCAGUCCAUGAAGUACAGCAUAUGCAACUGCACAGAGAUCUCAUCAGUGCCAUGGGGACUCCACACUGAGAGGAAAAAAAUUCUGAAUAAACUGGUUUUGCAUGUGUAUAAGUCUGUACAUUGGGAUUCAUCCAGUGUGGUGGCUUUGACAUUUUUCCUUUCUUUUUAAUAUUUUUUUAAUACAGUAGCUUCCCAUUAUGAAAUCAGUAGUGUGACAGGGGACAAGGGAAAUCACAGAUAAACAGAAUUUGCCACUGUUUAAUAAAACCAUGCAUUUGAUGCAUUGAUAAGCUGAAAUUUAGCAAGUCUUAAGAUUCAAUUGUGUUAAGUAGAUGACUAUAGAAAGAGGCAUAUACCUACAGGCAGCACACUUAAGCUGCAAAACUGUGUGUUGUCUCAAGAAAAUGAAGGACUCUCCACAACAGAAAUUUUACAUGAGUUCAUUCACUAUCCUGGAUGCCACUGUAGCAGAAGCAGCUGCUCCUAUACCCUUGCCUGCAAAUGACUGGCUUACUGGUGAGCUGACUCAGGAGGAAUGUCAAACACAAACAGACCCUUUCCAUCGCAGGAAAAACCCAUCGGGAAAUUUUGGAGCUCAGUCCUUUGCAUGGCAAUAUGUUUAGAGAAAGGAAAUAACUGCUUCUCACGUUGCUCUCUUCUCACCUCUCACAAGAGAUCUUCAACAUUUUUUGAAAAUUAUUUAAAGAAUUAUUACCCCUGAAUGAAGGGGAUGGGGAAAGGCUUUAUCUUUUAUCGAUCACAUUAAUUGCAUAAUUUUGUCUAUUGCUUGGUAGGCUGGAUAGCCAUAACUUUUAAAAAUAAUUUUUAUAAAUAUAGAAAAAAUACUGCUUAUAAUUUUUAUAAUGUUUGGUACAAAUGCAGACUUUCAUUUUCACAUUGCUUUCCCAUGUUUCUCUACAACUAGAAAACAUUGCCUCAUUGUCAUGUGUUUUGCCUUUUAAAAAUUAUUUACUGUAGUCCUGUAAGACAUCAAAGAUUUUAAGGGUUCUCAAUUUUUUGGGGGCACAAAAGGCGAAACCCGCCUCUGCCCCCUCACCGCACCAAUAGGUUACAACACAUAGGUCACAUGAAGCUUGUCUUCAGAGGACAUCUAUGUGCUCCUCAGUGCAGCAGAGUUCAGCAAGGCUCUAAGGGAGACGGUACAGUCAUGUGCUGC
This is a long non-coding RNA of Passer domesticus (house sparrow), 2293 nucleotides long. RefSeq lists it as uncharacterized. The record is from RefSeq and is a predicted model, not a curated record. The transcript has 3 exons. NCBI's taxonomy places the organism in Eukaryota, Metazoa, Chordata, Aves, Passeriformes, Passeridae.